GCUGGGCAUGGUGGCGCAUGCCUGUAAUCCCAGCGGCUCAGGAGGCUGAGACAGGAGGAUCACGAGUUCAAAGCCAGCCUCAGCAAAGGUGCUAAGCAGCUCAGUGACACCCUGUCUCAG
This 120-nucleotide non-coding RNA is filed under the name Leptotrombidium deliense. The record is from RNAcentral. Lineage: Eukaryota; Metazoa; Arthropoda; Arachnida; Trombidiformes; Trombiculidae.